AAAAAGCUCGUAGUUGGAUUUCUGUCUGGGAUGGUCGGUCCGCACUUUGUGCGUGCAUCUGAUGCGUCCUCGGCAUCCUUCUGAAGGACAUUGUACUUUAUUGUAUGAUGGAUUUCAGAACUUUUACUUUGAGGAAAUUAGAGUGUUCACAGCAAGCAAGCGUUUUGAAUACAUUAGCAUGGAAUAAUAAUAUAGGACCUUCAGUACUAUUUUGUUGGUUUCUAGAGCUGAGGUAAUGAUUAAUAGGGACAGUUGGGGGCAUUCGUAUUAACGCGUCAGAGGUGGAAUUCUUGGAUUGCGUUACGACGAACUACUGCGAAAGCAUUUGCCAAGGAUGUUUUCAUUGAUCAAGAACGAAAGUAUGGGGAU
RNAcentral lists this ribosomal RNA (369 nucleotides) under uncultured marine eukaryote. Its description in RNAcentral is "SSU rRNA". It matches the Rfam family "Eukaryotic small subunit ribosomal RNA", at positions 621 to 998 of the family's 1831-position model. The record is from RNAcentral.